AGCUCGGCUCCUCCAGCAGCAUCUGUGACAUCAGCAGUGCACCUGAACAGCAACAGCACCUUCCAGGACCUCAUUCUGCUGCCCAAGUGCCUCUGUGAGCAUCUAUUCCCAGGGUAUUCCUUGUGUAGGAAACAGGGAAAAAGCAGAUGAAAAAAACAGUUGUAACUUCUUCUGUAAACACAGAGCUCGGAUGUUUGAACAGCUUCCAUCCAUCACUCAUGGAGAUCUCUCCUGGACUUGUGUCCAGAACUGCAGAGCACUUAAGGAGAGGAGCUGGCAACAUGGACAGUGUUUGAUGAUAAAAAAUGUAAUAACAACUUUAGGAGAGGAAAGACAGAAGCACAUAAGGAAAGUUCUAAUAAACUUGGAAUUUCUGGGUAUUUUAUUCAUUAAUAUAGAACCUUCUUGCCCAUUUGUAGAUAAGGAUCUUGAUGUUUUAAAGGAAGAGGAAAAUAUAUUUAUUAUGCAUGGAAAAUAAGAAAAAUCUAAAACUUACUUUUUCUUUCUGCGUGAGAAAGCAUGAUUGCUCUUGUUUUCAGAAACAGUUUUUAAAAUUUUAGUAACAUUUUUCCCUCACAAACAAAGCUGGUUAUCAGAUGCCCUGACCAAAACAUGUUUUCCCAACAAGUUUUUUUAAACCAAUAUUUUUUUUUAAUUGCAUUUUUGAAAUGUAUUUACUCAGAUUGUUUCAGUGUUUUAAAAUAUCCAGGCUGAGAUUCCAGCUUUGGUUUACAUCAAAUUUGAAAUCUUUAUAUUUGCCAUAUUUUCAACUCCUAAAAAAAAAAAAAAAAAAAAAAAAAAAAAAAAAGUAAAAUAAAUGUUUAUUAAAAUUUGUUUUCAGCUAGAAAUGAAUGAAGCUUCAUUAAAUUCAGGGGAGCUAGACCCACUUACAUUAGCAGAAAAUAGGGUCCUUUUUUCUCUCUUCUUUUCAAUAAUUUCUCCAAUGCUAUUUUUAUCAGUCCUAGGGGGAGGUGGAAAGUAGGGUGGAAAACAGUUACAGCCAUUUUAUCACAUUUUACUCCUAACAAUGCAGUCCAAAUGAAAAGGAACCCUAAUGCUCUGCAGAAUAAUACAUUAAUCAUCAGCAGGCGUCAUUCAGUGCAGGCCGUGCUUUCCACACCAAGGCAAACAGGAGCAGAGCCCCUCGCAGAGGCACAAAUCCCUUAUCUAAUCUCACCUAGGCUGAGCACAGCACGGCUUGUGGUGUUUGUCAGCCCAGGGAUGGGGCAAACGGAGAGAUUUAGCAAAGGUUUCACCCCUCAAGGGCUGGGAAUUACAGGGGUUACAGGCCCGUCCACACAGAAUAUUUCUGCUCACUGACAAAUUGGUUUUCCUUGAGAAAACAUCAUUCAUUUCAC
This is a non-coding RNA of Taeniopygia guttata (zebra finch), 1358 nucleotides long. Lineage: Eukaryota; Metazoa; Chordata; Aves; Passeriformes; Estrildidae. The record is from RefSeq and is a predicted model, not a curated record.